GGUUCAUGACUGGGGUGAAGUCGUAACAAGGUAGCCGUAUCGGAAGGUGCGGCUGGAUCACCUCCUUU
RNAcentral lists this ribosomal RNA (68 nucleotides) under Escherichia coli. RNAcentral describes it as "partial 16S ribosomal RNA". It matches the Rfam family "Bacterial small subunit ribosomal RNA", at positions 1466 to 1533 of the family's 1533-position model. Lineage: Bacteria; Pseudomonadati; Pseudomonadota; Gammaproteobacteria; Enterobacterales; Enterobacteriaceae. The record is from RNAcentral.